RNAcentral lists this ribosomal RNA (505 nucleotides) under uncultured bacterium. Its description in RNAcentral is "partial 16S ribosomal RNA". It matches the Rfam family "Bacterial small subunit ribosomal RNA", at positions 28 to 507 of the family's 1533-position model. The record is from RNAcentral.
GACGAACGCUGGCGGCGUGCCUAAUACAUGCAAGUAGAACGCACAGUUUAUACCGUAGCUUGCUACACCAUAGACUGUGAGUUGCGAACGGGUGAGUAACGCGUAGGUAACCUGCCUGGUAGCGGGGGAUAACUAUUGGAAACGAUAGCUAAUACCGCAUAAUAUUAAUUAUUGCAUGAUAAUUAAUUGAAAGGUGCAAUUGCACCACUACCAGAUGGACCUGCGUUGUAUUAGCUAGUAGGUGAGGUAACGGCUCACCUAUGCGACGAUACAUAGCCGACCUGAGAGGGUGAUCGGCCACACUGGGACUGAGACACGGCCCAGACUCCUACGGGAGGCAGCAGUAGGGAAUCUUCGGCAAUGGACGAAAGUCUGACCGAGCAACGCCGCGUGAGUGAAGAAGGUUUUCGGAUCGUAAAGCUCUGUUGUAAGAGAAGAACGGGUGUGAGAGUGGAAAGUUCACACUGUGACGGUAUCUUACCAGAAAGGGACGGCUAACUACGUG